Long non-coding RNA from Phalaenopsis equestris, 983 nucleotides. RefSeq lists it as uncharacterized. The record is from RefSeq and is a predicted model, not a curated record. The transcript has 3 exons. Lineage: Eukaryota; Viridiplantae; Streptophyta; Magnoliopsida; Asparagales; Orchidaceae.
UGGAGCUUCCCCUUUUCGAAUCUUCUCAACUCCUGAGCAUCAUCCUCUUCCUGAGCAAAGAUUUCCCAACUCCUCCUCUUCGCCAACCCUAGUCUUCCUCCUCCCGAGAUCUGGUCCUCUGUGUUCUCUUCUCCGACGAGAUUCCAGACCUCCAUCGUGUCGUCUACCCUAAACGCAGCCCGGCUUCCACCAAGCAGCGUAAUAAAAGGUCAAAUAAGAUCAAAGAAACAGCUACACUGGCAUUAUGGGAGAAAGUGACCAAAAUAAUUUUUUGUGACCUUAGCAUUAAAUAAAUAGAACAAGGAAAUAAGCAAACAACCUUUUUUAACAAAGAAGGGUGGCAAAAUAUUACAAAAAAGAUCAAGAAAUUUACAGACAGAGAGUAUGACAUGAUGCGAUUGAAAAAUAAAUGGAAUCAACUUAAGAAGGAUUGCAAAAUAUGGAAGUAAUUGAAAUGAGGCUCAACAUAUUGGGGUGAGAUUCGGUGAAAUGAACAAUAUAUGCACCUGAGGAGUUUUGGGUCAAAGACUUAUGGUGGUGCCCGCUGCAAAGAAAUUUAAGAUUUCUAGAAUUGUGCCUGAAUUAGAGGAAAAGCUUGAUCACAUGUUUGGGGUGAUGGUUGCAAUGGGGAACUGUACAUGUAUCCCAUGCGAGGUAGGGUUUUCUGCCAAUCCAAUGGAUCUGGGAACCCCGAAGGUUCAGGUGAUCUUAUUGAAGUCCUCAGUCCGGAGCAGAACGAAUAUGAUUCCACUCCCCAUGCCAAGCUUCCAAGGGUAGAUAAUAGAAAAAAAAAUUGGUUAUAGUUUUAUUAGAAACCAAAUCUCUCAGCUGGUGUUUGCUAUCAAUGCAAAAUCAUGGACUUCUCAUUCAACCAAUAUUGAGGAGGCACUUGGAAUCAUUACUUUCUAUUAUUUAAUAUGAGUUUCGGGUUAUUACUUUUCUUUUUAGAUUUGUUCGUAGCGAUAUUUAUGUGAUGUUUUUGA